AGUCACUGACAUUAGAUACCCGGGUAGUCCUAGCCGUAAACGAUGCGGACUGGGUGUUGGGAUGGCUUUGAGCUGUUCCGGUGCCGAAGGGAAGCUGUUAAGUCCGCCGCCUGGGAAGUACGGUCGCAAGACUGAAACUUAAAGGAAUUGGCGGGGAGCACCACAACAGGUGGAGCCUGCGGUUUAAUUGGACUCAACGCCGGGAAGCUCACCGGAUAGGACAGCAGAAUGAUUGCCGGGCUGAAGACCCUGCAUGACUAGCUG
RNAcentral lists this ribosomal RNA (264 nucleotides) under uncultured archaeon. RNAcentral's name for it is "partial 16S ribosomal RNA". It matches the Rfam family "Archaeal small subunit ribosomal RNA", at positions 719 to 982 of the family's 1478-position model. The record is from RNAcentral.